Molecule: ribosomal RNA, 1110 nt
Filed under: Drosophila melanogaster (fruit fly)
Lineage: Eukaryota; Metazoa; Arthropoda; Insecta; Diptera; Drosophilidae
Source: RNAcentral
AAUUAAUAUUUAUUAUGUGUAUAAGUGAAAAAUGUUGAAAUAUUCCCAUAUUCUCUAAGUAUUAUAGAGAAAAGCCAUUUUAGUGAAUGGAUAUAGUAGUGUAAGCUAGCUGUUCUACGACAGAGGGUUCAAAAACUACUAUAGGUAGGCAGUGGUUGCCGACCUCUCAUAUUGUUCAAAACGUAUGUGUUCAUAUGAUUUUGGCAAUUAUAUGAGUAAAUUAAAUCAUAUACAUAUGAAAAUUAAUAUUUAUUAUGUGUAUAAGUGAAAAAUGUUGAAAUAUUCCCAUAUUCUCUAAGUAUUAUAGAGAAAAGCCAUUUUAGUGAAUGGAUAUAGUAGUGUAAGCUAGCUGUUCUACGACAGAGGGUUCAAAAACUACUAUAGGUAGGCAGUGGUUGCCGACCUCUCAUAUUGUUCAAAACGUAUGUGUUCAUAUGAUUUUGGCAAUUAUAUGAGUAAAUUAAAUCAUAUACAUAUGAAAAUUAAUAUUUAUUAUGUGUAUAAGUGAAAAAUGUUGAAAUAUUCCCAUAUUCUCUAAGUAUUAUAGAGAAAAGCCAUUUUAGUGAAUGGAUAUAGUAGUGUAAGCUAGCUGUUCUACGACAGAGGGUUCAAGAACUACUAUAGGUAGGCAGUGGUUGCCGCCCUCUCAUAUUGUUCACAACGUAUGUGUUCAUAUGAUUUUGGCACUUAUCAUGAGUCAACUUAAAUCAUAUACAUAUGCCAAUUAAUAUUUAUCUAUGUGUAUAAGUGAAAAAUGUUCAAAUAUUCCCAUAUUCUCUAAGUAUUAUAGAGAAAAGCCAUUUUAGUGAAUGGACAUAGUCCUGUAAGCUAGCUGUUCUACGCCAGAGGGUUCAAGAACUACUAUAGGUAGGCAGUGGUUGCCGCCCUCUCAUAUUGUUCCAAACGUAUGUGUUCAUAUGAUUGUGGCACAUUACAUGAGUAACUUAAAUCAUAUACAUAUCCAAAUGAAUAUUUACUUAUAUGCAUACGGAACAAUGUUCAAAUAUUCCCAUAUUCUCUAAGUAUUAUAGAGAAAAGCCAUUUUAGUGAAUGGACAUAGUAGUGUAAGCCAGCUGUUUUACGACAGAGGGUUCAAAGUACUACUAUAGG